AUUGAACGCUGGCGGCAGGCCUAACACAUGCAAGUCGAGCGGAUGAAGGGAGCUUGCUCCUGGAUUCAGCGGCGGACGGGUGAGUAAUGCCUAGGAAUCUGCCUGGUAGUGGGGGAUAACGUCCGGAAACGGGCGCUAAUACCGCAUACGUCCUGAGGGAGAAAGUGGGGGAUCUUCGGACCUCACGCUAUCAGAUGAGCCUAGGUCGGAUUAGCUAGUUGGUGGGGUAAAGGCCUACCAAGGCGACGAUCCGUAACUGGUCUGAGAGGAUGAUCAGUCACACUGGAACUGAGACACGGUCCAGACUCCUACGGGAGGCAGCAGUGGGGAAUAUUGGACAAUGGGCGAAAGCCUGAUCCAGCCAUGCCGCGGGUGUGAAGAAGGGCUUCGGAUUGUAAAGCACUUUAAGUUGGGAGGAAGGGCAGUAAGUUAAUACCUUGCUGUUUUGACGUUACCAACAGAAUAAGCACCGGCUAACUUCGUGC
RNAcentral lists this ribosomal RNA (485 nucleotides) under uncultured bacterium. RNAcentral describes it as "partial 16S ribosomal RNA". It matches the Rfam family "Bacterial small subunit ribosomal RNA", at positions 30 to 508 of the family's 1533-position model. The record is from RNAcentral.